UGUCCCUCCAUCUCUCUCUCCCUCCAUCUCUCUUGUGGGAGCAAAUAUAACACAUAGACAAAUGCAUAAGAUGUAUAGAAUAGCUGAACACUAAAAACAGACUACAUGAAGGAAAGGUGACACAGGUGCUAGGAUAGCUGGACAUACCAAGGCCGGAGGGAUAUACAAAGGAGGGGGUCAGUCAAAUGACUAACUGAUGACCAAUAGACAUAGUUCGCAUAUUUUUAGGACGUAGAGAUGCAGAAGGAAUGACAGAGAAGACACAUAGUCUGUUGCUCUGAGAUAAAGACACACAUACAUAGUAACAUAUUGAGCUAAGUGCAGAGCCAAAGCAUAGGGCUGUAAAAUAGAGGAAUGUAUAGUAUUUUUAGUAUAGCUGGACACGCUAGAAACUGAGGAGACACAUAGUCUGCUGAUCCUAGAUAAUACACAAACAAAAGAAUGCAUUUAGCUAAGUGCAGGAACAAAGCAAGGGUCUUGUCAUCAUUAUAAUCUGACGGAAAGCAGGUAUGGGCGUUAUUGAGCUGAACAAGCAGGAUGCACGGAUUGGAAUGUAACGUAAUUUACAUGUGGGAUGGGCUCAUAUGCAAUAUGUGGAUAAAUACUGGAGCCAGGGCUCUGGAAAAGGUGUGUGUUCCGCGGGGCACUCCGGCUUGCUAUACUGUUGUAUUAAAGCCUGAUUGAUUUCACAAAGUUCUGGUAUGCGUUGUAUUUGAUCCGAUUUUCCGCCACAGAUUUGGCGAGCUUUUCCAGGAGUGACAGGGGCCGAGGCCUCCUGGCUGACGGCGGGGUCUUUGGACGAUCUAGGCAAACAAGAGUGGCCACCCAGCUAUUAAAAGGUAAGCAAAGUAUUUACAAAAGUGAAAUGUUUGCGUAGAUCGCUUCAGAGAUCCUGCCUCAGCAAGAGGAACGUCAAGUAGGUCUCUCUCUCAAAUUUCCUAAAAACUAUAGAAACGAAAGAACUUUUUGAAUUCAAUGAAUUGCAUGCAUGUGUGUAAACUUGGGAACUGUAUAAUGAAUGUGCAUGUUUGGUGAAUAAAUAAGCGGGGGCUGUGAACUUUGCUCGUUGAGUCAUUCGCAGGGGACUGUUGUGUGAGCUGACUGGUUAGCGCUCUCUGGCAGAGUGAUUGGAAUCAGGCACAGGGCUACAGCCGUCUGUUUAUAUAUUUAGAAAAUAGAUAAGUAGUAGAAUAGAUAAAAUAUUCAUGGCUACCGCUUCAAGGAAAAGGUCUGUACGGAUGGGUAUUUAGUAAAUAGAUACACAUGGCUACCGCUUUGAAAUGAAGGUCUGUUACGGGUGAAUAUGUUAGAACGUUAGCCCGAUUGUGCGACGUUAAAGAUAUAGAUAAACUAUUCAUGGCUACCGCUUCAAGGAAAAGGUCUGUACGGAUGGGUAUUUAGUCAAUAGAUACACAUGGCUACCGCUUUGAAAUGAAGGUCUGUUACGGGUGAAUAUUUUAGAACGUUAGUCUGAUUGUGCGACGUUCAACUGAAAAAGGAAAUCCUGCGAAUAUAAAACGCUCCGUCUAGCUAAACGGGGGUUUACAAACAGUAGGUCGCGCCACGAUAUUGCUCUAACGUAGAAUAAAGAUCAAUACGGGGUGGAUGAAUAGGAUAUGAAGACAAGCUGAUCCGAUUAGACAGUAGUCUUGUCAUGUCGUAAAAAUCCUAUAGGAUAAUACCUGUUUAUGUAGAGGAAGUGAAUUAAACUAGGUAAUAGACUAUAGGUCGUUUUUUAGGUAAAAAACGAAGGGUAUGAGUGAAAAACCAUAUAGGAUAACACCAGCUUAUGUUGAGGAAGUGAAUUAAGUUAGGUAGUAGACUGUUUUGUUUUUAGAGAAUGCUUGUCAUCCGGUCAAAUUAGACUUAUGUUGUGGGAAGUGAAUUAAGUCUAGAGGAAGAGACUGGUUUGUUUUUAGGUCAAAACAAAAGUAUUGAAUGAAUGAAUGAGAAAGAUGUUGUAAUACAAUUCUGUGUGAGGAUAGAACUGUAAAGAUAGGAACAAGUUGGAUGUGGUUAGACGGAACGUUCAGAAGAGGGGGUGCGCAGCCCUCCUGUGACAGAGUAUAUAGUCAGAUUUCUUCUGACUGGCCAAAAGUGAUCCUCUAUCAGCUUAAUACAUUUACAGAGUGAUCCCUAUCAUAGUUUAAAUACUAUUAGGUAGAGGGAACAAAAGUAAGGAACAUCAAAAUAAAAUAAGCGAUUGCGGUAAGAAUAAUGAAAAGGUGUCGAAACAAGUAAUACAAAUAAUUAAAGAAGCAUUACCCGGAUAGUAUAAAACGGAUGCGAAGUAGGAAGAAAUAAUUUAAAAAAUAUAGAGAUAGACUAAAAUAUACUGGCUAAAAUAAAUCUAGGCGGUCUAGAAUAAAGUGAGAAGUCUAGAACACAUUAAAAAUAUCACGAGCCCCGUAAACAAAAUAGGAAGCUGUAAUUUAAAAACAGCCUCAGGAAUUAAACAGUAAAAUAAACUAAGCAGUAAUACAGUUGUAGACAUUAUAGAGUAGGUUUUAAUAGGAGGUAUUAAGUGAUGUGACUAAUGAAUUAUUAUCUGGGAAAGUAGGGUAGCUCUACCUUGGAAGAUAAUAAAUAAAGUGUAUAAUGCGAUGGGAGUGUUUAGGGGAAAUAAAUAGUGGCAUGGAAACAAACGGACUGUUUCUCCCUGGAAUAUAGAGAUAGCGAGAUUUAAUAAAGCCAUAGAGUCGCUGAAAGAAGCGCACGUUAAUUCUACCAAUUCAAUUUGAAUAUGAAGGAGCAAACCGUAUAAUGUAGGGCAACAUUACCCGGUAAACAGGAUAAAUAAAAUAAUGAAUUGGAACAAUCACAUAAAACCAUAACAAGAAGCUUAACUUACCAGCGUUUUAAUGUUAAUUAACAUUCUAUCAUCAGAAAUACAUUACGAUGGGGGAAGCGUAAGAAGUUGUAGAUCAGGGCUAACUAGUGUGGGGGAACUUGAGUGUAAGAUGACACUGGAAUGCGGUAGCAGAGAAUGCCGAUAUACAGGACUUUGCACCCUUUUCAAAAGAACAACAACUAAUCAUUUUGAGGUUAGUCAGAAUGGAAUUUUCACCAAGCGGUGUAUAGAAUCUGAUUGAUCAAUAAGUGGUUCAUAGAGAGUACAGUUUAUAUGUGAUGAAAUACGUACUAGAUCAUGUUUUACCUAACUUCUAGUAAGGUACCGAUGUAAUUUACAAAUAGCCCCACUUGGAGUCGUUUUGCAUUAAAAUGGCGGUUUCAAUGGUGAUAAAAUGCGUGGAGGAAGUUGUUGUUAGCGUCAAAUAACCGAUCAGGAAGGAACUAUGCGUUCUGUGCAUGGCUAAAACUUUUAUCGCAUGCUCAGGAAAAGUAAGGGGAUUUUAGUUUUGUUAGACAUAGCGUCAUUUUCUGAAACUGCUAAGACGCUUAGAGAAUAAAGUAUAUAUGUAGUACUAUUGGCUUGCUGAUUUAAAAGGUAACAUUGUGAACGUUAACGAAAUGGACAUUUCUGUUCCAGAAAAAAGGGGUUACAUUUUCUCUGGUCAUUGGAGACUGUGGUACUGAGGAAAGCAGUUAGAGAUAUUCGGCCAUUUUUAAAAGUCUUAGUAUCUGGUUAAGGCUAUAACUGGAGUUCCGGAUAAGUGAGGCCAGCUUAUGUAUAUUCUUGGCCUAUAUACAAGAGUGGAUUUCCUUUGGAGGGGUUUUUGUUCAGUUCAGUUUCAAAUUGGGUAAAUGUUUUUGAAAAUGUAUUUAAGCUGUUUCUAAAGAAAAGAGAGUGAAAACAUUAUAAUGGUGUCAAAUGCCCUGAACCCUAAGAAUUUCCAGUGAAGACUGAUCAACUUCACUAGAAAUUGUUGGAACAGGUGGGAUUUAAUUAUAAAAUGAUUGAGAAACACCAGUCUCUAUUCAAAGUGUACCAUCACUUUGAAAUUCCAUUAUUUCCUUGGGAAAAAGAUGAAGAGUUGUAAUCUUGAAUUGACUAGUUAUUCAAAUUGGUUUAUUUUCAUUUAACAUGGGGUUAUAGGAGUAAUUAUCAGUUCCCUGAGGUUAUGGUCUUUGGGUAAAUACAAAAUGUGCUUUGUUCAUUCUACAUAUAAAAUGGAAAUAUAUGUAAACAAUGGAUAACAGUAAAUAGGUUAUUGGAGUGGGAGUUUCUGAAAGGGUUAUGUUGAUAACUACAUCAUCUGUAACUCAUCUGAGAGGUCGCCAGUAGAAUAAGGGAGUUAUCAUGGAAAUGUAAUGUCAGAAUGCAUUAAUGCUUGGGAGAGACUAUCACCACAACAAGUGUGUGUGAAACUCAAACCCACCCUACUGGCUGAAUAGUGUGGGACAACUGUGUCUGAUGACCUGUGAACUGUAUCUGGAAUGAUAUGUGUCUGGGAGAAGAAAGACUAAAGGGGAUUGGGGUAAUGACCUUUUAGUAUCAGGCCACUCAUGACAGAAAAACAGAGGCAAAAGGGCGCAUGGUAAAAUAGAUAUUACUGGUACUAAAAGUUGUUAGUAUAAUGUUAAUUAUUAAAGGGAUGAUGUAUUAAAUUGAGUAGGUAAAAUUUGAGUUAAAGUAAACACUAAGGACUGUUAUCCUGAAUAUUGGAUUGGACCAUUUAUAAACAACAUUUAGUUAUGUUUUGGCUAUAGGACUGUUUAAAUUUACUAGGCCUAGGAAAACUCUGGAAACUAAUCCUGAGACAGGUUGAUUGACAGAACUUGCAGAAUAUUAGAUUAUUUUAUUUUACAAUAUCAUUGUAAUUGGAGGGAUACAUUGGAAUGACAUAAGUAAUUGAAUAAAAAGUAUAGUCUGUUGUGUGAUAACACCCAAGGAUGAAAAAGACAUUACAAAUAGUGGUAAUUUAUUGCAAAUAUGCAGUUAUUAUAAUUUACUUUACUAUUUUUCUUGUUUGGUCAAUUUAUUUUUGUUUUGAGGAAAAUAUAUUUUUUCUGAGAGGAGACUGAUAUAAAUUGACUAAAAAUGAUUUAAGAAUAUUUAAGUAUGUAUCAAACUAUGGAAGGAAAUUAGCAGUAGUGACUUAUGUGUUAUGGGUUAGAAAAACUGUAACUACAUUGGGGGCUCAUAUGAAGGUUAUGGUAACAAGGGGGGGUGUUAUUUCUAGAAACAAUGUAUAUUGAUAGACAAGAUAAUUCACAGAAAAGGAAGGACAGUUGGUCUUGUAAAAAUAUAGGGAAAAUUCUAAAAAUAGAUAGAACAUUACACAUACCUAGAUUAUGGUAAAAGUAAUAAGUAGUGGCAUUUUGAAGAAGCUUAGGACUUAGUUUUGUUAGGAUUGGAUAUUCUUUCAACUGGAAGACACUUGACUGAUUACAUGUUAUUCUUACAGCAGUUGCUGUAGGUGCCAUAAUUUGGCUAUCAUUAUGAAUAUUUUUGUGGCAAGAGGCCAGGUAUUUGAGACAGAAUGUUUACAUAACAGAAUGUUUACAUAGGGCUGUUAUUUAAGAAAGUCUGUUGUCAGGAAAUAACCCAUGUGUUAGUUGUGUAUAUCCCCAGGAAAAGACAGCACAUAAGACGCCAGAUGGAAGGGCAUGGGCUGAAUUCUGGAGACUGAGUGUACGUCAAGAUACACCAGGCUGGGGAUAUACUUCUUACAGCACCUGCAGUGUCUUAUGUUUAGGAAACCAGAUGGAGAAGGGUUCGCCAGCUUCAGCUGGAAUGUCAGUUUGUGUGAUGAGUGAUGGAAGUAAGAGAAUGUAUGGUGUAAUCGUAGAACAGAGGCCAUAAGUCUUUAAGUAUGAAUGCCCCACAGAAAGAAGGCAGAAACCUGAACCAGGACGAGAGGUUCCACAUCUGAUGAUCCAAGGGGACCAGAAGGACCUCUCCCAGUGAUACCAGGAGAUCCAGUCUACGUUCAAGUGUUCCGAAGGAAGUGGGAUCAGCCGAGGAGGGAAGGACCCUAAGAGGUGGCAACAGCCACAAACACGGCCGUCCAAGUGAAAGGAAGCAAGACGUGGUAUCAUCUAAACCACUGCACCCGAGUCCCUGAUGGAGAGAAGGACACAAUCAUACAGAGAUGAGGACACAGAGGAUGCUGAUUCACCAGGCGGGACCCCGGAGGGAGCAGGAGCAGCGGAAACGAUCAAAGCGCCGGGGAGGAAUCAAGAAAAUGGCAGACCAGAUACAACGAGUGCAUCAACUAACGCACUCCGAAGAAGCACCAGGGGAAAAGAGCCUGAAAAGAAAAGAGACAAAUAACCAAAGUUUCCUCCAGUACGGCCAGAAAGCCCAGAAGUGGGGGGUAAACAUGUCUGCUACUCCUGAUGAUUUACCUGUUGGGGCAGACCUUGUUGACGGAAGCCCUCUACAGUGGGACCCCAAGGUAUCGCCUAAAGAAUGGGAACAUCUCUUCCCUGAAAUGGACGCCUUCCCAGAUGGAAGCCAAGUUCGGCCUGAGGAGGGAACAACAGGCGAAGAAAGUGGAGGAGAAGCAUUACCAAGAGCAGAAGGAGAAAUCUUGCAAGAUGAAAGAAAUGGGGAUUUCCCCACAAUUGACUUUUCAGCCCUUACCUGGUGUCCAUAAUGAACAAUUGAAAUUAGGACCACAAAAGAACAGUGACAAUGGUAGAGUGAGAACAACUAAGGACAAUAUGGAAAUGAUGCAUACACUCACGAUCAAGAUAAAUGAUAAAAACAGGAAGAGAAGAGAGGAACCUGUUGAACAAGAUGAAAAGACAGGAUUUUUUUUGACAGGUUUAAGUUUCAUGUUCCGCCACAAAGGACAGGUUCUGUAUGGAAGAAGAAACCUGUACCGGAGGAGCCACUCUGUGGAUGGACGCAUCAUAUAACAAAGGGAGAAGCUGUUUGGGACCCCAAAGGAUGUGACCUGACAUUAAUCAAAUGUGUGGAAGAGUGGGUGCUCACCAUGAAUCAGAUUGAACCAGUUGAAGGUGAAAUAACGAGAACAAGAUUGACUGAAGGGAGUAGUUCCUCAGUCAUUCAGAAUUUGUCUUACGCCAAUACCUAAACAGGAAGAGCCUGUGGGAGCUAGAAAGCAUCAGAACCAGGAGGGUUCUUUACUGACAUUUGGAUUUUUUUUACAAACUCUAGUGACCUACCUCAAGACAAGAACAUUGCAAAGAUGACAGAUAUAGAUGUAUCAGGCUCAGAACCGUUCAAGGACACUACACAGGAAGAAGAGGUGAAAAACGAAUGGUACAAAUGGGCUAAGUAUACAGCAAACAAGCACAGAAUGGACAAUUGUGUAUUGUGUAGUAAAUCUCCUUUGUCGGAUCUCAUAAUAGUUCCUGAACCAGCAUCAUUUAAAGACUGUGCAAUUUGGAAAAAUGAUCAUUGUACCAACAGAAAGUAUUCUAUUCCCUUGUGUGACAUAGAAUGUAGGAUUGCCCAAGGGAGCACUAGAGGAAGAACCAUGUUGAACGUGACUGGGUUGGGAGACAAGGAUUGUGCUGCCUAUAACAUUAAAACUGAAUUAAAUGGACCUCAAUUA
Oncorhynchus nerka (sockeye salmon) is the source of this 7430-nucleotide long non-coding RNA. RefSeq lists it as uncharacterized. The transcript is spliced from 2 exons. The record is from RefSeq and is a predicted model, not a curated record. NCBI's taxonomy places the organism in Eukaryota, Metazoa, Chordata, Actinopteri, Salmoniformes, Salmonidae.